UUAGUACAGCUGAUGUACAUCAACUGAUAGUUCGCAGGGGAUUUAUUCGGUUUUAUACACAGUCAACAAGAAAGAAAACACUUGAACACUACAGGGUGAAACAAAGACGUCAUUUUUUUUUUUAAUCAGAGCAAGGAUAGCCCUUGAGAGCAUUAUAUAUUUUCAUAGUAGGAUAGAAAACCAGUUUAACAAAAGGCCACCUGAAUAAAGAUUGAUCUCAUACAGAUAGCCCAUUUUAAGGCAAGGCUUGACUUAAGUUUUUUUUAUCUAGCAAUAAAUCUUGAUCCAAUUUGUGCAUAUAAAUACAGCCCCACAGAUAAUAUCCCAUCAGUUUCAUCAGCUCACAUUGAUUGAAAUGUGGAAAACAUCGCUUCUCUUAGUCCUUUGUGCUCUGCACUUGUCUUAUAUUCAAGCCCAAACUAAUCGAGAGUACUGUGAGAAUGUGUACACCGAUUGUCAACGAUUUACUCCCAGAAUAGGGCGAUUCGAUGAGACUAUAGAUUCCUUCAACCGACAUUGUCGCCGGGAGCGCCGAGGAAGAUGGAAUAAUGUCUCUCGGUGUGAAAUGGAAAAGGCCACCUGCCUUCUUAUCUUACGCCGCUGUGAUGACUUGUCAUGCAAUAACAUUGCCGAUAUCUUGGAAUUGUAGUGAAGAGAAAAGCUUAUUGACACUGCAGUAUAUUGUCUGAAUUAUCAGCAGAAUGGCAAGUUGACACAAGGAGUUUGGGGUGCUUAACUAUAUAUAAACCGCUCGAAAUAAUGUUUCCAUUUUAGUUAAGCUCAAGAUGUUUUUAAUAAUAUUGCUGCUGGGUAAGCGGCUAUAUUUUUAGUUCUUAAUAAGUUGUAUUUUAACUCCACGUUAUUUAAAGUUGUUA
Drosophila biarmipes is the source of this 875-nucleotide RNA transcript. RefSeq lists it as uncharacterized. Lineage: Eukaryota; Metazoa; Arthropoda; Insecta; Diptera; Drosophilidae. The record is from RefSeq and is a predicted model, not a curated record. The transcript is spliced from 4 exons.